This 790-nucleotide long non-coding RNA is filed under the name Heterocephalus glaber (naked mole-rat). RNAcentral describes it as "lncRNA (ENSHGLG00100040060.1)". The record is from RNAcentral. Lineage: Eukaryota; Metazoa; Chordata; Mammalia; Rodentia; Bathyergidae.
UGUUGUACUCUUUCAGGGGUCCAUAGAAAGCAAAAGGGGAAAGAAAUGGGAUCCAUUCUUUACAGCAACAAGCAGAAGAUGGGAUACUUGGAAUUUUAAAAAUUUAAUAUCUGCCUUUCUGAGUUUUGAUCUUGCUUUGGGAGGUUCACUGCAGAGUUUGCCUUGAGCUUCAGAAGACUUUGAACUUGAGUUUUUAGCCCAUAUUGGAGCAACUUGGAGAUGGAGUGAAUGAAUUUUACAUUGUGAGAAGAGCAUCAGUUUUGCAGGCCACGGGAGGAAUGCUGUAGUUUGGAUACUAUCUGUCUCCACAAAGGUUUGCAACUGCAGAAUUAUCUGGGAUCUUAUUAGAAAUGCAGACUACCAAGUAAACCUCAGACCUACAGAAUCAUAAUGUGCAUUUUUACAACAUCCUCAGUCAAUUCGGAUGUCCAUGAAAAUCUGAUAUGCUGCUGUACAUCACUUUGACUUGCCUUCAGUUUUCCCUUUGCCAGUGUGAUGCACUUGGAGGUUGCUCUUUGUUCCAGAAGAGAAGCUGCCUUCAUUCCAUGUCAUAUGCCCACACUGUCUUUAAAGAUAGCAAAGGAGCUCACAGGAGAGUUUGCCUUAAAUCUUGGAGGAGAAUUUACACUUGGACUUUGCAAAUGAAAAAUGCUAAAACUCUUAAGAUUUUGGCAACUUCUAGAGAUGGACUAAAUGUAUUUUGGAUAGAGAGAUGCUCAUAAAUCUUUUGGAGGGCUAGGGUAGAAUAUUAUGGUGUAUAUCUAGAUGUUUUUCCAAAGCCUUAUGUGUU